AAAACUUGAAAAUAUUAUGAAAAUCGGCCAAGAAAUACGGAUGAUAUCAGCGUUUUAAACUACUAAUUAG
Long non-coding RNA from Chrysoperla carnea, 70 nucleotides. RefSeq lists it as uncharacterized. NCBI's taxonomy places the organism in Eukaryota, Metazoa, Arthropoda, Insecta, Neuroptera, Chrysopidae. The record is from RefSeq and is a predicted model, not a curated record. The transcript is spliced from 3 exons.